This is a long non-coding RNA of Chelonus insularis, 2023 nucleotides long. RefSeq lists it as uncharacterized. NCBI's taxonomy places the organism in Eukaryota, Metazoa, Arthropoda, Insecta, Hymenoptera, Braconidae. The record is from RefSeq and is a predicted model, not a curated record. The transcript is spliced from 3 exons.
UAUAGCAUGUUGAACUUUUUAUUCAUAAAAUUUAUUCCAUUAUAUGAACAUUCCCACACUUCUUAAUGUCUUGGCAAUAGUUUCAACGGAAGUCAGUAGACCGAAUCAUAAUCAUCGUCUUUAUCAUCAUCAUCAUCAUUAACAUUGGCAUUGACUCAAACUUUUCGAUUCUCUCACGCUCUCAUUAUUCUUAUUCCAGAAGUCUACCGCGCAAAUGAACAAAAGUACACGUACUUCAAGAAGAGAAGUUGAAAAAAGACGUUCCAACUGCUGAAACUGGUUUCCAACGACCUCGCGACUUUGCUUCCUUCUUUUCAUACACUCACACACACACACACACACGCACACACGUACACAUUUACACUUCUGACUCUCGGCUUUUCGUUUCUAUCAUCUGCUUCUUUAUCUACUACUACCUCAUUCUUUUUGUUUCUUCUCUACUUUUUUUUUUUACGUCACAAAAGUGCGCCCUUGAACUGGGAAUAUAAAUCUGUGAGAAUUUACUUCCGUUUUUACAAAUGAACAUAAUACUCUUCAAAAACGUCUUUUAUUCUUUCAAAUUGUAGAUAGCGGUUAAUAUCUUGUGUAUCAUCAUAAUAAAACUUGAGAAAGAGGAAAUUUGACUGACAAUGAUAUUACGUCACAAGUAUGUUGACUCACCAUUACAAUUACCACCACCAUCACCAAUGUUAUUCUGAUUAUUAAUAUAAUCCUUAUCAUCAAUAAGAGAAAUAAAUAAUAUUAAAUCGUACUGACCGAGGUAUACAAAUGAAUGUGAAUAUUUUUUCUUCUCAUUUCUAUCUGACACACUACUCUUUGACACAAAGUCGAACCAGUUGCUCAAAGUGACGUGAGCAAACUAAACUUGUAGUCUGGCAAGUAUUGCCAGGUAAACUACGCUUACAACCUGCAUGCCGGCUGGUCGAAGGAAAGGAAGGUGCUCAGCGGGCCGUAUAGUAAAAGAGACCUAACACAACCAACCUGCCUGCGAGUCCAUGCCCCUCUCUUAUUUUUUCAUUUCUACUUUUCUCUCCUAUAUAUCCUUGUAAGAUUGAACAUGAGCCAAACUUAUGUGUGAAAUGAUGAGUUGGUAAAGGACAGUAUAUCAUGUAACAGUUAGAGUCUAGCAUAAGGAGAAGGGCAACCCUUACUUCAUAGUAUUACCUUUGAAAGAGAAGGGAUAAGACCUGACGUUAGAGUGAUUCACCUCAACAACGAGUAAAUCAGCAGCAUCAAAAGUCUACCUUUUCAUACCAACAAGUACUGUUAUAAGUCCAUUUUUUUUCUUUACGUUCAUUAAUACUAAAUUAUCACCCAAUUCCAUCACUGCUUUUGUGUGUCCUUAUAUUGGCUAGGUAUUUUAUAAGCCGUUCAAAAGAAAUAAUAAAAUUGUGUUGAAAUAUAUGACAAUUUAUUCAAGUAAAUCCAGUGGAGCAUGACAUGAUGUAGCCAAAAAUCAAGAAAAUCGUUAGAAUUUUCAUUUUAUUUUUUUUUUAAAUUUCCCCUUUUUUUCACCAUCAAAUGCACCGUAAUUAUCUAUUGUCAGGAAAAAAAAGGUUUAAACAAAUUUUUUUUCAAAACUUCUCUAUUCGAUUAUAAUAGAAAGAUGACUCGUACAAAUUUUUGUCUAGGAAACCAAUUUUAUACGCAACCGGUAGAUUUAAUGCUUUUGUAAUUUUAUAAUCAAUUUUAUCGGUUUUUGCUGCACUGUAUUUUCUCCACUCAGCUGUCGAAAGAAAAAAUUUAACUUUGGAUAGUAUUAGUAAUUCUUGUUUCUUUCAUUUAGUUUUUGAUUAUUAUUAUUAUUUUUAUUAUAUUAUUGUAGAGUAAAAAAUUAUUGUUGCACAUCGUUGAUUCCCUUGCGGGGUCAGUGGACUCGAGCUAAAAAGUUAGUGGAGCGCUUAGCCUAACAAAGAAUAUACAAUGAAUCAGAGUAUCCAGUCUGAUUGUUGAAAGAUGUUGAAUAAAGAAUGUUUAGAAAUUUUAAUUCAUUCAAAUAUAAAUAAACAUCAUUUCAUUUAUG